Molecule: ribosomal RNA, 459 nt
Filed under: uncultured bacterium
Lineage: Bacteria
Description: partial 16S ribosomal RNA
Rfam family: Bacterial small subunit ribosomal RNA
Source: RNAcentral
CCUACGGGGUGCAGCAGUGAGGAAUAUUGGUCAAUGGGCGAGAGCCUGAACCAGCCAAGUCGCGUGAGGGAAGACGGUCCUAUGGAUUGUAAACCUCUUUUGCCGGGGAGCAAAAAGCGGUACGUGUACCGCAUCGAGAGUACCCGGAGAAAAAGCAUCGGCUAACUCCGUGCCAGCAGCCGCGGUAAUACGGAGGAUGCGAGCGUUAUCCGGAUUUAUUGGGUUUAAAGGGUGCGCAGGCGGCGGGUUAAGUCAGCGGUAAAAUUUCGGGGCUCAACCCCGACAAGCCGUUGAAACUGGGUUGCUAGAGUGGGCGAGAGGUAGGCGGAAUGCGUGGUGUAGCGGUGAAAUGCUUAGAUAGUGCGCAGAACUCCGAUUGCGAAGGCAGCAUACCGGCGGCGAUCUGACGCUGAGGCACGAAAGCGUGGGUAUCGAACAGGAUUAGAUACCCGUGUAGUC